AGGAGAUGUACUUGACUAAACUACAUGAAAUGCAUUAAAAAUAUUGCUACUAAACUUGAGAAGGGCAAGUAGGACAAAGAGAAAAGGGAGAGGGUCCUCCUCCCCCUUGUGUUGAUUCAAAGAUGAACUCAAGACCUCGUCUCAUUGCUCACUUUGUUGAGCCUUCUCUGCAAGGGACCUAUUGUUGCUGAUAUUGCUAGAGUGGAGGGGAAUACAACAACUUGGAAAAUGUGCAAGGAAGGCGGAGCUAACUCAUACAUCCAAGAACAAAUUGAUGAA
Molecule: long non-coding RNA, 279 nt
Organism: Prunus avium (sweet cherry)
Lineage: Eukaryota; Viridiplantae; Streptophyta; Magnoliopsida; Rosales; Rosaceae
Source: RefSeq, a predicted model, not a curated record